Molecule: ribosomal RNA, 497 nt
Filed under: uncultured bacterium
Lineage: Bacteria
Description: partial 16S ribosomal RNA
Rfam family: Bacterial small subunit ribosomal RNA
Source: RNAcentral
GACGAACGCUGGCGGCGUGCCUAAUACAUGCAAGUUGAGCGCUGAAGGUUGGUACUUGUACCAACUGGAUGAGCAGCGAACGGGUGAGUAACGCGUGGGGAAUCUGCCUUUGAGCGGGGGACAACAUUUGGAAACGAAUGCUAAUACCGCAUAAAAACUUUAAACACAAGUUUUAAGUUUGAAAGAUGCAAUUGCAUCACUCAAAGAUGAUCCCACGUUGUAUUAGCUAGUUGGUGAGGUAAAGGCUCACCAAGGCGAUGAUACAUAGCCGACCUGAGAGGGUGAUCGGCCACAUUGGGACUGAGACACGGCCCAAACUCCUACGGGAGGCAGCAGUAGGGAAUCUUCGGCAAUGGACGAAAGUCUGACCGAGCAACGCCGCGUGAGUGAAGAAGGGUUUCGGAUCGUAAAACUCUGUUGGUAGAGAAGAACGUUGGUGAGAGUGGAAAGCUCAUCAAGUGACGGUAACUACACAGAAAGGGACGGCUAACUACGUG